RNAcentral lists this non-coding RNA (24 nucleotides) under Arabidopsis thaliana (thale cress). The record is from RNAcentral. Lineage: Eukaryota; Viridiplantae; Streptophyta; Magnoliopsida; Brassicales; Brassicaceae.
CAUAACUUUUAGACCGUGAGGCCA